UACGUAGGGUCCGAGCGUUGUCCGGAAUUACUGGGCGUAAAGAGCUCGUAGGUGGUUUGUCGCGUUGUUCGUGAAAACUCACAGCUCAACUGUGGGCGUGCGGGCGAUACGGGCAGACUGGAGUACUGCAGGGGAGACUGGAAUUCCUGGUGUAGCGGUGGAAUGCGCAGAUAUCAGGAGGGACACCGGUGGCGAAGGCGGGUCUCUGGGCAGUAACUGACGCUGAGGAGCGAAAGCGUGGGGAGCGAACAGG
Molecule: ribosomal RNA, 253 nt
Filed under: uncultured bacterium
Lineage: Bacteria
Description: partial 16S ribosomal RNA
Rfam family: Bacterial small subunit ribosomal RNA
Source: RNAcentral